This 504-nucleotide ribosomal RNA is filed under the name uncultured bacterium. RNAcentral describes it as "partial 16S ribosomal RNA". It matches the Rfam family "Bacterial small subunit ribosomal RNA", at positions 28 to 523 of the family's 1533-position model. The record is from RNAcentral.
GAUAAACGCUAGCGGCAGGCUUAACACAUGCAAGUCGAGGGGCAGCAUAGAUUGUAGCAAUGCAAUUGGUGGCGACCGGCGCACGGGUGCGUAACGCGUAUGCAACCUACACGUCACAGGGGGAUAAUCCGGAGAAAUCUGGCCUAAUACCCCAUAACAUAUGGAUCGGCAUCGGUUCAUGUUGAAAUUUUCGGAGGUGACGGAUGGGCAUGCGUAGCAUUAGCUUGUUGGUGAGGUAACGGCUCACCAAGGCGACGAUGGUUAGGGGGACUGAGAGGUUUUCCCCCCACACUGGUACUGAGACACGGACCAGACUCCUACGGGAGGCAGCAGUGAGGAAUAUUGGUCAAUGGGCGCAAGCCUGAACCAGCCAUGCCGCGUGCAGGAUGACGGCUCUAUGAGUUGUAAACUGCUUUUGUACGAGGGUAAAGUGGGUUACGUGUAACCUUUUGAAAGUAUCGUACGAAUAAGGAUCGGCUAACUCCGUGCCAGCCGCCGCCGUAA